UUAGGAAUUUUCCGCAAUGGGCGAAAGCCUGACGGAGCAAUGCCGCGUGAGUGAUGAAGACCCUUGGGUUGUAAAACUCUGUCGGAGGGAACGAAAAUUUGACGGUACCCUCCAAGAAAGCCCGGCUAACUACGUGCCAGCAGCCGCGGUAAUACGUAGGGGGCGAGCGUUAUCCGGAUUUACUGGGCGUAAAGCGCGUUAAGGCUGCUUCGCAAGUUGGUGGUGAAAUUUCAGGGCUCAACCCUGAAACUGCCUCCAAUACUGCGGAGCUUGAGUGCGAGAGAGGAAGGUGGAAUUCCCGGUGUAGUAGUGAAAUGCGUAGAUAUCGGGAGGAACACCAGUGGCGAAGGCGGCCUUCUGGCUCGCAACUGACGCUGUAACGCGAAAGCGUGGGGAGCGAACGGG
RNAcentral lists this ribosomal RNA (405 nucleotides) under uncultured bacterium. RNAcentral describes it as "bacterial SSU rRNA". It matches the Rfam family "Bacterial small subunit ribosomal RNA", at positions 355 to 776 of the family's 1533-position model. The record is from RNAcentral.